Molecule: ribosomal RNA, 170 nt
Filed under: uncultured bacterium
Lineage: Bacteria
Description: partial 16S ribosomal RNA
Rfam family: Bacterial small subunit ribosomal RNA
Source: RNAcentral
CCUACGGGAGGCAGCAGUGAGGAAUAUUGCACAAUGGGCGCAAGCCUGAUGCAGCGACGCCGCGUGGGUGAAGAAGGUUUUCGGAUCGUAAAACCCUUUUCUGUGUGACGAGAACGGACGGUAGCACAGGAAUAAGUCUCGGCUAACUACGUGCCAGCAGCCGCGGUAAU